CCGGGAGCCGGGAGCGGCUGCGCGCGUCGCCACAACGGCCUCUGAGAGGCUGCGCUCCAUGGCCGGCAGAGGGCGCACGGGCUUGGGGAGCCCUCCUAGUCACGGUGGGACUGUGGCUAAACUGCGCAGAAGCUGGAGGCUCAGGAAGAAAUCCCUCUUGUUCGGGAGGAUGGAAGCCUUGGUGCGCUUGUGCCUCUCUGUCGUCUCAGACCUGCACAGCCCGCUCUGUUCCCUUCCCCAUCUUCUCUCCCCGGACUUCCUUUAAUUCAGAGGGAAAGGACUACUUUUCUGCUCCAAAAUACGGGCCUUCGCUAUCAAUACUGUAACAAUGUAAAAUUUCAGGAGGAAAGACUACCAACUUUCUUAGGUGCCUCCUUUUCCCUCUACCUCGCCCCUCAAAACACGGUAUCCAUACUGAAGCUGUUCAUUUUGUUAUCGACUUCCUUAAAUUGUCAUGCUGAUGCCAGCUGUAAAGUUCUGGUUCAAGAACAGGCAAGCUACAGUGAAUUGCAAAAGAUUCAAGAACUACCAGGGAAUCCUGGCUGUGGGUCGCAUGAUAGACCUGCCUCCCCUAUAGGCUGUGUCCUUCUUGUCACAUCUGCCAGUACAGAUUCCCUGUGCCAGAGCCCUUCCAGAAUCAGCUGUACUCCUCAACUUAGGCUCUCCAGGAAUUCAUCUGACCAUGCAUCCAACUUAUCUAUCAUUGAUCAGGAGAAAUGCUUCAGGAGGAGCUCAGCUAGGAAGAGAUGGCAGAGGCAAAAGAGUAUAGAAAACCAAUUGGGAAAUAAGGCCACUAAUCGUGUGGUAGGUGUGGAAUUCCCAAAGAUUGUGUCCCUCUUGCUGGGUCAGAUAACUCACAAUCUGUGUGUGAGAGAGCCAUCCAUUUUCAGCAAGCCUCCUGUACUCAGCUUUUUGAAUAUUUCCCCAAACUCAGAAUCCAUCUUCUCCAUGCAUCAGAGAUGAUUGAUCACUUGUGAGCUUUCCUCAACUCAGCCACUUGAAUAACUCUCUAGACCAGAGACAGUUGGGGAUCUGUUCUCCUCCUCCAAUCAGUGCCUCCAUCAUUUCUCCAGACUCAGAAUCCAUCUUAUCCAUGAGUGAGAGCACAUCUAGUGUCAGCUCUCCUCCACCACUCAGCCUAAGUAUUUUCCCAGAACUGGAUUCCAUCCUCUCCAUUGAUGAGACCAAUGAGUGUCUCUUAUAUGAAGCCGUGAAGCUGGCCAUGCUCCCAACAGUGGGAGACAGAAUCCCGAGUCAGUCAGCACAUUGUGCAUCUUCUGCAAACCCAGCUCCAGUCCAAGAUGCAGACCCAACACAAGCUCCAGAAUCCAGCACAGCUUCAACAGCAGCUCCAGGGGCAAUGGGAAGAGGCAUUGGAUCCUGAACCAGAUCUGGAAUGACAAAAAAAGAAAUCAGAAGACCUGGCAGCCUCAGACUGUCACAAUGUGAAGAUCC
Molecule: long non-coding RNA, 1455 nt
Filed under: Cricetulus griseus (Chinese hamster)
Lineage: Eukaryota; Metazoa; Chordata; Mammalia; Rodentia; Cricetidae
Description: lncRNA (ENSCGRG00015011266.2)
Source: RNAcentral